CGGCAAACAGAUCGUCGUGGCCGAUGAAUGCGGUGCGCACGUACUUCGGCAUCUCCGCCACCAGUACGUCGUAUUCGGGGAAGUGGCCGCGGGCGGUAUAGAGCACAGCGGCGUCGUUCGCGAUCGCCUCCGCGAUGAUUCCGUAGCCCGGCUUGGUGACGACGACCUCGGCCGCUCCGACCAGAUCCUCGUAGCGCACACCCGCGUCGUACAUCGCUUCUUCGUUCACGCUGAUGAACGAUCCCUUACGUUCGGCGGUUGGCAUCUCCUUGCGGGUACGGCCCAGAGGAAGGUUCGCUGUGGUGAUCACGGUGUAUUUCUUGAACUUCGCCAGCGCGUCUGUCUCGAGU
This 350-nucleotide unclassified non-coding RNA is filed under the name uncultured bacterium. RNAcentral describes it as "contains 16S-23S intergenic spacer region". The record is from RNAcentral.